GCAUGAACUUCCUCGUUGAGAAGUAUGACAGUUCUCUGAAGCACACAAUGAUCCAGUUAGGAUCUUCAGAGAAGCUUGCCCAGGCGAGGUUGAAGGCCAUCGAGAGAGUAAGGGCGGAGCAUAAGAAGGCUAAUGAGAAGGCUGCGAAGGAGAAAGAAAUUCUUCGAGUGAAGUUCGAAGAGCUGGAGGGUAAGCUCAAAUCUGCCAUAGCGGCGAGGAAAGAGCUUGCCCGAGAGAACACUCGUUUGGAGCAAGCGGCUGUGAACCUGGAGAAGGAGAAGACUGAGCUACUCGAAGAGAGGAACGCUGCGGUAGAGAAGUUGAUCAAAGAGAGGCAACGCUUGAGGGACUCCUGGGGUUUGGAGGUUACUCGUGAGAGGGAAAGAGUCGAAGCUGCUAUGAUCGAGAAGGCAAAUCGCCGCUUUGGUCGCGUGUGCGACCUUUUUACUCGCUUGGAGGCCUUUGGGAAAGCGAAGAGCCUGUACGGUCAAGCUUCGGGAACGAAGAAGUGCCUCGAGAUGAUACGGGCAAGCGGGACGGAGAUCCCGCAAGAAUUGAUCGACGUCUUUGAUGAGCAGUAGAAGCUCUAUGAGGCGGAGGCUACGAAACUUUGUGUAGGUCCGCUAUCUGAUAGCGACCUCACUCUUUCUCUGCUGGGACUCCCUUCCUGCUUCGCCGAGGACAGGUUUAGAGCGUCGUUUGAUCCUUAUGGGUCGAACGUAAAUUUGAUCGGACCGGAGACGGCUUCUCAGCUUAUUACCUCGCUCGAAAUUACCGAGGAGCCAACAGAAGAGCCAUUGGUUGACGUGACAUCGGUCCCUGCUGAGCACGUCGAGGUUCCGGAGGGAGGUGGUCUUGAAGAGGUCCCUGGAAGGGAGAACCUUGAGGCAGAUGACACUCCUAUUCGAGAGGAGGAGACCAAGAGCGUGGGCAUCGAGGAUCCUGUCCUCGUCUUGGGUUCUUCUUCUGAAGGACGAGAAGACGAAGAGGAGGAAGAUGAUAGAUUCGAAGAGACGUCGCCGCCGCAGCCCGUCGAGGAAGAGACAGCCAACGAAGUUGGAGAUGGAGAUGUUCAGAAACCCUCAUCUCCUGCUGUGGAUUUCCCUGUCCCCGUUCCUACUCGAGUGGAAGACUCAGCUGCUGCCGCUACUGAAGAUCCAGUUGGUCCCCCUGCUCUUGGGACGCCAGAGGAGGACGAUCAAGAUUUUGCGCCUUGACGUUUUGCCUUUGUUGUUUUCCUUGUGAACAACGAGGGGUGGAAGGGCUUAGUCGGAUGUUCCAUUUGCUGCAGAAGUCCUUGAAGUUGCCUGACAUGAACUGUGAUCCGUUAUCAGUAACGAUUUCAUAAGGUAGGCCGUGGCGGCAGAUAAUGUUUUUCCAGACGAAAUCACAGACUUCUUUGUCUGUGACUUGAGCGUAGGCUUCAGCUUCGAUCCAUUUGGUGAAGUAAUCAGUGAGGACGAGAAUGAAACGCUGCUGGCGGGAGCAGGGAAGGGGUCCGAUGAUAUCCAUUGCCCAUCGCAUAAACGGGUACGGCGCGGUCGUCGUUCGUAACAUUUCAGUUGGACAAUGGGUGCUUGGUGCGUGCCGUUGGCAUUUGUCGCAGCUUCUAGCAUAGGACUCGCAAUCAGCGUUCAUCGUCGGCCAGAAGAAGCCUAGGCUUCUCACUUUGAUCGCUAAUGCUCAUCCACCCGAAUGGUUUCCUCCGGCGCCUUCAUGCGUUUCGGCCAUAACCCUGACUGUUUCAUCACCGUGGAUACAUUUGAGGAGUACUUUAUUCGCAGUCCAUCGAUGGAGUUCGUCGUCUAGGACGACGUAAUAGGCACUGCGUGUUUUCAGUCGGCGGGCUGCCCAUUUCUCGGUUGGAAGUUCUCCCUUUGGGAGAUAGUCAAUGAACUCAGUUCUCCAGUCAGGGCGGAAUCUGUCAGUAUCGGGCGUAACGGUUUCGGUGACUGGGGCUAUGAUGGUGGUUUGGUCCAUUGAGAUAUCCACGCUCGGCUUCUCGAUGCGGUGUAUUGGGGUGGUUCGUUUAACCUGAUCCCGAAGCUUGCUUCCAAGGGCUGCGAGUGCGUGGGCGCAGACGUUUUCUCCUCUGGGAACUUUGACGAGUUUGAAGAAUUCAAAAUCUGCGGCUAAGCUUUGUACUAUCUUGAGGUAAGCAUCCAUCCGAUCGUUGCGGGCGUCGUAGUCGCCGCUAAACUGACUGGCGACUAACUGCGAGUCGCAGUAGGCUCUUAGGCGUUUAGCCUUGACAGCUUUUGCUAAGCGGAGUCCAGCGAUCAUAAAUUUGUAUUCUGCUUCGUUGUUCAAAGCUGGAAAGCCGAAGCUAAAAGACUGUCUGAUCAGUUCUCCGGUCGGGGAUUGUAGUUGGACUCGGUACCUGCACCCUUGUUAGUCGAAGAUUCGUCGACAUGCAGUAUCUAGUUCGGAUUUGGGAGUGUGAGGUCUUGCUCCAACUCCGGGGCCAAUUCGACUAAGAAGUCUGCAAGAACCUGAGAUUUUGCCGCGGUUCGGUUCUUGUAGUUGAUAUCAAGCUCACUGAGUUCGAUAGCCCACUUCGUCAGUCUUCCGGACCUGUUUGUAUUUUGGGGUAUCGUUUGGAGGGGCUGGUCGGUUAAUACUUCCACCGAAUGUGACUGAAAGUAUGGGCGAAGCUUUCUCGCCGCUUCGACGACCGCCAGCGCCAUCUUCUCCAGAGUUGGGUAUCGCGUUUAUGGACCGGUCAUGCACCUGCUUGUAUAGAAGAUUGGCUUCUGCUCACCACGGUCCUCUUUUAUCAGAACGCUGCUGACUGCUGCUUGCGACACUGCGACGUAAGGAGAUAGAACGUCGCCGACAUCUGGCUUGGCGAGAACGGGUGGUGUUUUCAAAUAAUGCUUGAGUUGAGUAAAUGCCUCCUCGCAUUUCUCGUCCCAGAUAAACCUCUUGUUACCUCGCAGGAGAUCGUAGAAUGGCAAGCAUUUGUCGGUGGAUCUGGAGAUGAACCGGUUGAGUGCAGCUAUCCUACCCGUAAGCCGUUGCACUUAUCUACUGUUUUUGGGCUUGGGAGGUUCAGGACCACGGAGAUCUGCUUUGGGUUGGCUUCGAUUCCUCGCUGCGUGACUAUGUACCCAAGGAACUCGCCUGAGGAAACCCCGAACGUGCACUUUGCUGGGUUCAGUUUCAUGCCGUAUUUGUUGAGAGUUUCGAAGCAAUCUUGCAAAUGAUCAGCGGUGUGUAGCGACUUGACAAGCAUAUCAUCGAUGUACACUUCCAUGGUGACGCCCAGCUUGUCUGCGAACAUUUUGUUCACAAGCCGUUGGUAGGUUGCUCCUGCGUUCUUCAAGCCGAAUGGCAUGACCUUAUAACAGUAGGUUCCUCUAUCUGUGAUAAAGGCCGUCUUUUCGCGAUCGUUGGGGUGCAUCAUGACUUGGUUGUACCUAGAGAAAGCGUCCAUGAAGGUGAGCAUCUCGUUUCCAGCCGUGGACUCGACUAAACGGUCGAUGUUGGGAAGAGGAUAGCUAUCCUUUGGGCAGGCUUUAUUUAAGUCGGUGAAGUCGACGCAGACGCGCCAUUUCCCGUUCUUCUUCUUAACAACUACUAGAUUUGCUAACCACUCCGGGUAGCGCACCUCAGCAAUUGAGCCAGCGCCGAGUAACCAGUCGACCUCCUCGUUUACAGCCUUUGACCUGUCAGGACCGAGCUUGCGUCGCUUCUGCCGGAUAGGCUUGAAUGUCGGGUCGACGUUUAGUUCGUGAGUUGUUAAUGUUGGGUCGACGUUUAGUUCGUGAGUUGUUAUAGUCGGAUCGAUUCCUUUCAUGUCUGACAUGGACCACGCACAUUCGUCUUGAGAAAGUUGAGAACUGACUGCUGCAUAUCUUCAGACAGAUACGCACCAAUCCUUGCGGUCUGGCUUGGAUCGGUAUCGUCAAUGGGUAACUCGAGAACUUCGCCUUCCUGGGAGCAGAAUUUAUAGGUUGGAGGAGAAACGGAGUUAACCGAUAGAGACGAUCGUUGGAGUUUGACUGUGGCGACUAGGAGUUCCCUAGCGGCUUUUUGAUCCCCUAGCAAUGUUUUGAUUUUUCCGUCUAUACCGGGGAACUUGACACACUGGUGAUAAGUAGAUGGAAUAGCGUGCAUUGAGUGUAUCCAGGGGGUUCCAAGUAUAGUGUGGUAAGGCGCCUUCGUGCUUACAACGGCAAAAUUGACAGUUCGAGUGACUCCACAUGCGCGUACCGGAUGGCGGAUUUUUCCCAGUAUUGUUUCGGAGGAUCCGUUGAAGCCGGUUAAUGUUCUGGAGGACGGUUUUAUGUCGUCGAGAUCGACUCCCAUCUUCUGCAGAGUUCCUCGGAAGAUGAGGUCGACGGAGCUUCCUGUAUCAACGAGGACCUUGGUGACGUCGUACUCCCCAAUUCCAAGGACGACAAGAAGAGGGUCGUUGUGGGGUACGUGAAUCCCCUCAGCGUCAUCCGGCAAAAAAUUUAUCGGAGGGUGACUUGGCGGCCUAGUCGGCCACCUCUGCGAAGUCGGCCUGUCGACGGUAAUCCUUGACGGAGCGAACAGAGUUGCCGCAAGGAGGAGAACCGCCCAUGAUGACAUUUAGUUGAUGUCGUGUUUCUACUUGCUUGGAGUCUAAGAAGGCACGUAAAUCGGUUGGUACGCUGCUGUCAUUUUUUGACGACGGAGUGUCGUUGCUUGAUGUCUUAGUUUGCUCCAAACGCCUUCGGAGGUCAGUGGAUUUCGAACGAUUCAGACGGAUGCGAAGAUCGCAUGCUCCUGCGUUGAGUUUAUCUCAAAGGUCACCGUUUGAGCGCUCUUUUGGAUUGGGGUCACCUGUUGAGAUACGCCGGGACUUCCGUGCAUCCAACGUUGUUUGGAGAUCAUUGUGCGUGAAGUUGUUGCUAUCUUCGGAUUCGAACUUUCGUUUCAGAACAUCUCUCAAAUCUUCGAGUACAGGUGUGUCAUCGUUCUCGUCGUCCGACGACAAGGUUUGCUGAGAGAGUAUAACCUCAAUGCGCCUGCGGUUAGCUGGUUGCUCUUCGUCGGCUGAGGAGUCUCCCUCGCUGUUACUCUUCGGAGCAUCCUCCUCGUCGUCUCGUUGUUGAGUUUCGCUAUGUCGACCUUUGCCUGUAGCUUUGCGCUGGGCUCUCUUUCUUUAUUCUUGCUCCAGCUCUUGCCGUUCUUCGGCUUAGCCUUUAGGGGUUCGAACUUGAAGUCGCCACUUGCUAGGGAUGAGAGGUAGUGCGCAUAGAGUGACUUGCACUCUAUCGUAUCGUGCCCUUUGACGUCGUGAUAUUUGCAGUGUUUGGUGAGAUCGACGGUUCUGGAAGGUCCUGCCGCUGAACCUGCUGCUGUUGUAGUCUGGGUCGAGCAAACGGCGUUGACUGGUUUGUCGGACGAAUCGAGCUCCCUUACCCACUUGUUCCAACCUUCUCCGUGGACUACGAAAGUUGAAACAGGCACGUUGUUCUCAUUGACGACAUACAUGUAUCCGUCUUUGCGGCCGUUUUUUUCGAUUGGGGCAUGCUGGCGCGGUUCUUGUCACGUGUUGGCGUUUUUAGCCGCUGGAGCUUUGGGUGCGUUCAUCUUGCUGAGAAUGGCAUUAGUGUCUUCUUCCAUUCGGAUAUAGUUAUCAGAGCGCGCGAUAGCAUCCUGGAGUGACGUAGUUGGGUUUUGGUAUAAAUCCUCUCGGAAUUUAGAACGAACCCACAAUGUGUUCCGCAGGGCGUCGAUGGCAAUACCGUCUGGGAUUUCAAUCCUCGAGACUACGGCUUUGAACUUCUCCAUGUAAUCGCGGAGGCUCUGUUCUUUGGUUUGGUUAAGGUUCCACAAGCUAGAGGCGGUAGCGCUGCGCUUGGUGAACAUAAUGUAGGUCUUGAGGAAAGCUGCUGACAAGUCACGGAAGUUUCCGAUGGAGUUUUCCUCUAACUGGGAGAACCAGGUUAGGGCUUGCUCGUGGAGAGUUUCGACGAACAGUUGGCAGUAGCCUGCGUCCCUUUCUUCUUCGGAGAGUCGAGCCCGCGCCAUCCCGAUGUUUAAAGCUGUCAUGUGUUCCACCGGGUCUCCACCGGGUUUGUACUCGGGUAGGCGCAGCUUGUCUAUCUUUCCGAAUUGCACACUAGUCAACGCGCGAGUGAAAGGGGUGCGCGAUGUUGCGGCGAGCACGCUCUCGAUUUGCGGGGCCGCGCUGGUUACCUGAUGGAUCUUCUCGCUCAUUUGCUGGAAGCUAAGCUUGAGCUCGGCGAUCUCGCGUAUGGUUGCGAGAUCGGAGCCUACUGGGGGAGCGUCGGCGAGAAGGGUUUCAUUAGGCUCCGAGUCGUCUGAGACGUGGUCGCCUCCGGUCGCCGUUGGGUUGGUGUUAAAGAGGCGACGGCGUAUCUGCUGGGGACGGCUCGUUUGGCCAUCGGUAGCUGUGAGUGCCGCGACCAAAGCAGCUAAUUGGUCGUUGGUCGUCUUUUGGACUUCGUCUUGAUGAGCGAGUCGAGCCAUGAUAGAGCUCAUGAAAUCUGCGGUGAUGGGUGGCGCGGAUUCGGGCGUGGGGGAACAAUUCUUCACUUCCUCGACUUGCCGUCAGAUCUGCCUUCACCUCCGUUGGUUACAGAGAAGCAGCAGUUCCAGGAGCGUUUCGACUUUCCCAACUCAUCCUCUCGGGAGUAAUCGAGUUUUGACGAGUUUUGUAUGAUUUGGUGAAGGCUGGAGCUUGUUUACAGAAGAUCCAGAAUUCAUCAAGAACAUCUCCUGUUCGUCUUUAAGUUUCAGAUUACACAGAAUUCACCAAGAACAGGUUGCUAGUUUCUAAGUCUUCCGGCAUUGAUCAUGAUGGAAGUAUCGAAGAAGAACACAGUUGUAUCCACUAACUGAUUAUGCUGGUGGUUUGAAAGCUGGAAGUAGGAUUAAAUUCAAGGAAAGCUAGUUUUAGGAAAAUCAGUUGUAACAGUUGUACCAAACGCAGUGAACAAGUCCUCAUCGAAGGAAGACACUUUGGAAAAGAAGAAGGCUUUCUUCUGGCACCUCUUCUAGCAAGAAGGGAGACGAGGAGGAUGUAAACGUCGAUUUGACAGAACAGAAGAAAGCCAAUGACGUUUAUUCCAUUUGAACCCAUGACCUCAAAACGUUCUUUUUUUUUUAAAAUAAAAGUUUAGAAAGUACAUGUCUCUUUAAAUAUAUAUUGAAUCUUCGUUUAUAGAUUAAGCUCAAGGAGAACUAGGGUUCUUAAAUAUCAAAACGAAAACAGCCAUUACAAAGCCAAGAAACAGAAAAUAAAGUAAUGCAAAAUUGAGUAUUUCUUAAACUAAGGUUAUUUUUUUGUCAUCUCUAAACCCUAAACCCCAAAACUAAACAUAUUUUUAAACUCUACACAUAAACAUAAAAACUUCAAUCUUUUCAUAAUAAUAUCAAGCUUAAACUAAAUUUUUUUCUAAGAAAAUCUAAUCUUAAAUUUAAAUUCUAAACCUCAAACACAAAAUCCUAAAUCUACACCCUAUAUCUAAUACCCUAAACCCCAAACUUAAACCCUACUUACAAAAUCUUAAAUCUAAUCUUUUCAAACCUAUGAUAUAUACUUAAAAUUUAACUUCAAGUAUAUUCUAAAACUAAAGCCAUAUAUUUUAAUUCUAAAUCUUAACCCUAAACCUUAAACAACACACCUCAUAUUAACAUAUAUCAUAAAACAAUCAGUCUUAGCUUUAAAUAAAUUAUAAUUCCUUUAAGACAUCUAUGCUAUUCCGAACUAUAUACAACUUUUAUAUCUUAAUUCCUAUAAGAUACAUAUAUUACUCCAAACUAUAUACUCUAAAUUUUAACAUUAUUUAUCUUAACCCAAAAUACUAUUUUAAACUACACAUAAAACUUAAUCUUAAUACCCUAAAACGAAAACUCAAACCCUGCAUACACGACCAUAAAUUCAUCUUCUUUAUUUAAUUGGUUACAUUUUUAAAAUAUUUAAACACUGAAUUUUAAAUAUAAUGUAAAAACUAAAUUAUUUCAUUGGUUUCUCUUAAAAAUAUUUCCACCAACACUCACAAAUUCUCCUUCUCCUUUCCGCCGCACAUCUUGACCAAAACUAAGACACUAAAUAAAAAUAUUUAAGCUAAAACUAAAACAUUUAUCUGUGUCCUUAUUGGUCAAAAAGAAAAGACAUGGAUCACUAUCAGUAACCGUUGAUGCAAUUGCAUCCAAUGGUUACAGUUUUUUUCAAUAUCUUUUUGUUUUUCUGUUUUAAUUCUCUUUCUCAUCUCUUUCGUUUUCUCUUCUCUCUUCCUUCUACGGCAGAUCUCAAUCUUCUCUUCUUGUAUCGUACUCUUUGUUUUUCUCUUUUCCUUAUUUUUUUUCCCGAAAAUCUCAUCUCUUCUCUUUCUCUUCGAUCUGUUCAAUCUUCUCUUGGAUCUAUAAACCGCCUCCGAUCAAAUACAUACCAAGAUGUAUCGCGGCUUAAGUUUGCAUUACCAGGUUAAAGUGUCAGAGGUGGAUCACGGUAUGGCUCCACCAAGUCACCUCCUAGAUUCUGAGAUACCCCAAAAGCCUAAAUCAGAAACAGGCUUGAGAGGCGAUGGAGAAACUCCGGUAUCGAGCAGACGAGGCGACAGAGAAACUAUGAUGUCUGUAGCAGACGGCACGAUAGAAGUCAACUUCGGUGACUAGGUGAUGCGACGACAACACUCUGAAGGCGGAUGCUCUGGAGGCUGGAGGCUAGAGACGGAGGAUUAGGGUUGCAGGCGGAUGCUUAGUUUAGGUUUAGGUUAAUUAUGUUUUGGCUAAUUAUGUUUUGUUUUAAUCUGUUUUUUUGUUUAAUGUGUUCUUUAAUUAUUUGUAUACUGAUUUUAAUUAAUAGAUAAAAUUAAUUUUAAUUACGAA
Molecule: long non-coding RNA, 8832 nt
Organism: Brassica napus (rape)
Lineage: Eukaryota; Viridiplantae; Streptophyta; Magnoliopsida; Brassicales; Brassicaceae
Exons: 5
Source: RefSeq, a predicted model, not a curated record